Molecule: ribosomal RNA, 116 nt
Filed under: Vibrio cholerae
Lineage: Bacteria; Pseudomonadati; Pseudomonadota; Gammaproteobacteria; Vibrionales; Vibrionaceae
Description: partial 16S ribosomal RNA
Rfam family: Bacterial small subunit ribosomal RNA
Source: RNAcentral
CAGGUAGUUUAACCUUCGGGAGGACGCUUGCCACUUUGUGGUUCAUGACUGGGGUGAAGUCGUAACAAGGUAGCGCUAGGGGAACCUGGCGCUGGAUCACCUCCUUACACAAAGAU